UGGGGAAUAUUGCGCAAUGGACGAAAGUCUGACGCAGCGACGCCGCGUGAGGGAUGAAGGUCUUCGGAUCGUAAACCUCUGUCAGGGGGGAAGAAGUGUACAGGUGCUAAUCAGCCUGUAUUUGACGGUACCCCCAAAGGAAGCACCGGCUAACUCCGUGCCAGCAGCCGCGGUAAUACGGAGGGUGCAAGCGUUAAUCGGAAUUACUGGGCGUAAAGCGCACGUAGGCUGUUUUGUAAGUCAGGGGUGAAAUCCCACGGCUCAACCGUGGAACUGCCUUUGAUACUGCAAGACUAGAGUUCAGGAGAGGGUGGUGGAAUUCCAGGUGUAGGAGUGAAAUCCGUAGAUAUCUGGAGGAACAUCAGUGGCGAAGGCGGCCACCUGGCCUGAUACUGACGCUGAGGUGCGAAAGCGUGGGGAGCAAACA
RNAcentral lists this ribosomal RNA (427 nucleotides) under uncultured Desulfovibrionaceae bacterium. RNAcentral's name for it is "partial 16S ribosomal RNA". It matches the Rfam family "Bacterial small subunit ribosomal RNA", at positions 355 to 774 of the family's 1533-position model. Lineage: Bacteria; Pseudomonadati; Thermodesulfobacteriota; Desulfovibrionia; Desulfovibrionales; Desulfovibrionaceae. The record is from RNAcentral.